UACGUAGGGUGCGAGCGUUGUCCGGAAUUAUUGGGCGUAAAGAGCUUGUAGGCGGUCUGUCGCGUCUGCUGUGAAAACCCGGGGCUCAACCCCGGGCGUGCAUUCGAUACUGCGCGGCUCGAGACAGGUAGGGGAGAUCGGAAUUCCUGGUGUAGCGGUGAAAUGCGCAGAUAUCAGGAGGAACACCAAUGGCGAAGGCAGCUCGCUGGGACGGUACUGACGCUGAGACGCGAAAGCGUGGGGAGCAAACAGG
Molecule: ribosomal RNA, 253 nt
Filed under: uncultured bacterium
Lineage: Bacteria
Description: partial 16S ribosomal RNA
Rfam family: Bacterial small subunit ribosomal RNA
Source: RNAcentral